Molecule: long non-coding RNA, 625 nt
Organism: Nomascus leucogenys (northern white-cheeked gibbon)
Lineage: Eukaryota; Metazoa; Chordata; Mammalia; Primates; Hylobatidae
Exons: 3
Source: RefSeq, a predicted model, not a curated record
UCCAGGCCCCCAGCCUUCCCUUAUUUAGAGAGCUCGAGGUCUGGACCCCCAGCUCGCGUCCCGGGAGAACCUCCAGGCAUGGGCGCCCCAGGCUCCUCCUCCUUCCGAAACCCCAAAGUCCGGGCCGGCCCCCACCCUCCGGGGGAGCUCAGGAAAUCUGUGACCCAGCCCCCUCCUCCCUCGGGACCCAGGAGCUCCGGCCCCCAGCCCUGGCCCCCAGGCCCUGGCGCCCGGUCCCACCUGCUGGACAUCAAACUUCCUGGUCCUCAUGCCUUUAGCCUCAGACCGAAUGACACCACCAGCUUUCCUGGUUCUUCGGCGUAUAGACAGCAUGUCGUGGGAAUUCUCAGCCUCCAGAACUGUUUUGCAUACUUUGAUGAAACAAAGCUAUCCUGUUGCAGAAAGCCUGCGUGUCAAGGAACUGAGGGGUGGCCUCUAGCCAAGUCAGCAAGGAACUGAACUGCCAACAAGGCCAUGAAGUCAACAGAACCUUGAGAUGGCCAGAAAGCUGCUGGCCCCUUGAUUGCAGCCCUGAGAGAGACCCUGAGGCUGAAGACCCGGCCGGGCUGUGCUCAGAUCCCUGAUUCAUGGAAAUCGCAAGAUAAUAAACGUGUGUUGUUUGAAA